GGGUUGUGAGGUUAAGCGACUAAGCGUACACGGUGGAUGCCCUGGCAGUCAGAGGCGAUGAAGGACGUGCUAAUCUGCGAUAAGCGCCGGUAAGGUGAUAUGAACCGUUAUAACCGGCGAUUUCCGAAUGGGGAAACCCAGUGUGAUUCGUCACACUAUCAUUAACUGAAUCCAUAGGUUAAUGAGGCGAACCGGGGGAACUGAAACAUCUAAGUACCCCGAGGAAAAGAAAUCAACCGAGAUUCCCCCAGUAGCGGCGAGCGAACGGGGAGGAGCCCAGAGCCUGAAUCAGCAUGUGUGUUAGUGGAAGCGUCUGGAAAGGCGCGCGAUACAGGGUGACAGCCCCGUACACAAAAGCGCAUGUGCUGUGAGCUCGAUGAGUAGGGCGGGACACGUGGUAUCCUGUCUGAAUAUGGGGGGACCAUCCUCCAAGGCUAAAUACUCCUGACUGACCGAUAGUGAACCAGUACCGUGAGGGAAAGGCGAAAAGAACCCCGGCGAGGGGAGUGAAAAAGAACCUGAAACCGUGUACGUACAAGCAGUGGGAGCACAGGUUUACCUGUGUGACUGCGUACCUUUUGUAUAAUGGGUCAGCGACUUAUAUUCUGUAGCAAGGUUAACCGAAUAGGGGAGCCGGAGGGAAACCGAGUCUUAAUUGGGCGUUAAGUUGCAGGGUAUAGACCCGAAACCCGGUGAUCUAGCCAUGGGCAGGUUGAAGGUUGGGUAACACUAACUGGAGGACCGAACCGACUAAUGUUGAAAAAUUAGCGGAUGACCUGUGGCUGGGGGUGAAAGGCCAAUCAAACCGGGAGAUAGCUGGUUCUCCCCGAAAGCUAUUUAGGUAGCGCCUCGUGAAUUCAUCUCCGGGGGUAGAGCACUGUUUCGGCUAGGGGGCCAUCCCGGCUUACCAACCCGAUGCAAACUGCGAAUACCGGAGAAUGUUAUCACGGGAGACACACGGCGGGUGCUAACGUCCGUCGUGAAGAGGGAAACAACCCAGACCGCCAGCUAAGGUCCCAAAGUCAUGGUUAAGGGAAACGAUGUGGGAAGGCCCAGACAGCCGGGAUGUUGGCUUAGAAGCAGCCAUCAUUUAAAGAAAGCGUAAUAGCUCACUGGUCGAGUCGGCCUGCGCGGAAGAUGUAACGGGCUAAAACCAUGCACCGAAGCUGCGGCAGCGAACGUAUCACCCAAGACAACUUUACGGAGUUGACGAUUGACGGAGCGAAGCGACGUCAAAGCGUUCAUUAAAGUCGAGUUGGCUUAGGGAUACGUUCGUUGGGUAGGGGAGCGUUCUGUAAGCCUGUGAAGGUGUGUCGUGAGGCAUGCUGGAGGUAUCAGAAGUGCGAAUGCUGACAUAAGUAACGAUAAAGCGGGUGAAAAGCCCGCUCGCCGGAAGACCAAGGGUUCCUGUCCAACGUUAAUCGGGGCAGGGUGAGUCGACCCCUAAGGCGAGGCCGAAAGGCGUAGUCGAUGGGAAACGGGUUAAUAUUCCCGUACUUGGUGUUACUGCGAAGGGGGGACGGAGAAGGCUAUGUUGGCCGGGCGACGGUUGUCCCGGUUUAAGCGUGUAGGUGUGUGUUCCAGGUAAAUCCGGUUCACUUUAACACUGAGGCGUGACGACGAGGCACUACGGUGCUGAAGCAACAAAUGCCCUGCUUCCAGGAAAAGCCUCUAAGCAUCAGGUAACACGAAAUCGUACCCCAAACCGACACAGGUGGUCAGGUAGAGAAUACCAAGGCGCUUGAGAGAACUCGGGUGAAGGAACUAGGCAAAAUGGUGCCGUAACUUCGGGAGAAGGCACGCUGACACGUAGGUGAAGUGAUUUACUCAUGGAGCUGAAGUCAGUCGAAGAUACCAGCUGGCUGCAACUGUUUAUUAAAAACACAGCACUGUGCAAACACGAAAGUGGACGUAUACGGUGUGACGCCUGCCCGGUGCCGGAAGGUUAAUUGAUGGGGUCAGCGUAAGCGAAGCUCCUGAUCGAAGCCCCGGUAAACGGCGGCCGUAACUAUAACGGUCCUAAGGUAGCGAAAUUCCUUGUCGGGUAAGUUCCGACCUGCACGAAUGGCGUAAUGAUGGCCAGGCUGUCUCCACCCGAGACUCAGUGAAAUUGAACUCGCUGUGAAGAUGCAGUGUACCCGCGGCAAGACGGAAAGACCCCGUGAACCUUUACUAUAGCUUGACACUGAACAUUGAGCCUUGAUGUGUAGGAUAGGUGGGAGGCUUUGAAGUGUGGACGCCAGUCUGCAUGGAGCCGACCUUGAAAUACCACCCUUUAAUGUUUGAUGUUCUAACGUGGACCCGUAAUCCGGGUUGCGGACAGUGUCUGGUGGGUAGUUUGACUGGGGCGGUCUCCUCCUAAAGAGUAACGGAGGAGCACGAAGGUUGGCUAAUCUGGUCGGACAUCAGGAGGUUAGUGCAAUGGCAUAAGCCAGCUUGACUGCGAGCGUGACGGCGCGAGCAGGUGCGAAAGCAGGUCAUAGUGAUCCGGUGGUUCUGAAUGGAAGGGCCAUCGCUCAACGGAUAAAAGGUACUCCGGGGAUAACAGGCUGAUACCGCCCAAGAGUUCAUAUCGACGGCGGUGUUUGGCACCUCGAUGUCGGCUCAUCACAUCCUGGGGCUGAAGUAGGUCCCAAGGGUAUGGCUGUUCGCCAUUUAAAGUGGUACGCGAGCUGGGUUUAGAACGUCGUGAGACAGUUCGGUCCCUAUCUGCCGUGGGCGCUGGAGAACUGAGGGGGGCUGCUCCUAGUACGAGAGGACCGGAGUGGACGCAUCACUGGUGUUCGGGUUGUCAUGCCAAUGGCACUGCCCGGUAGCUAAAUGCGGAAGAGAUAAGUGCUGAAAGCAUCUAAGCACGAAACUUGCCCCGAGAUGAGUUCUCCCUGAGACUUAGAGUCUCCUGAAGGAACGUUGAAGACGACGACGUUGAUAGGCCGGGUGUGUAAGCGCAGCGAUGCGUUGAGCUAACCGGUACUAAUGAACCGUGAGGCUUAACCUUACAACGCCGAAG
Molecule: ribosomal RNA, 3010 nt
Filed under: Salmonella enterica subsp. enterica serovar Rough O:-:-
Lineage: Bacteria; Pseudomonadati; Pseudomonadota; Gammaproteobacteria; Enterobacterales; Enterobacteriaceae
Description: 23S ribosomal RNA
Rfam family: Bacterial large subunit ribosomal RNA
Source: RNAcentral